GGCCCCAGGGAAGUGACAGUUGCCACUGUUCACUGAGUUCCUCCAGGGCGCAUGGCACCCCUCAUUUCCCAUCCUCACAGUCCCACGUUGAGCUGUGUGCCCGCCAUGCACUAGGGAAAGUGAAGGCUUCCUGAGGACGAGUGGCUCGCCAGGGUCACAGAUGAGAGGCAGACUGAGAUUCAAGCUUGGGUGACCUGCCUCAAAUGCUUAGGUUCUUUUUGCCACCAUGAGCUUCUCCUGGGGUAGGGCUUGGGGGUGGCCCAUGGUGCUAAUGCAUGUGGGGUGCUGACCGGCUUUCCCUCUGGGAGUCCAGGUGGCGCAUAUUAGCAGAGGGGCCAGGGACUCCUUGGAUCCAGGGCGUGUCCUUAGGGUCUCAGCCUUGAGGGUGUAAAAGCUAUAGAGUGAGUGUCCGGGUGGAUAAGGGACUUGGAUAGGAUCCUGCCGUGUGGGCUGGGGUGGGUACAGCAAGAUGCCAGAAUCCCUGGAGUUCGCAAGGACAUUAUCUUUUUGGAGACCUCAGGGUCUGAUCACACUUCAUGACUGUUCUCUGGGCCUCAGAUUCCUCAUCAGUGAAAAGAGGAUAAAUCAUCCUGAGCCUUGCUCUUUCCUAGGGAUGUUGGAGGGAAAGAAAAGAAUAAAAGAUCCCUGAUUGUGCUCUG
This 659-nucleotide non-coding RNA is filed under the name Pan troglodytes (chimpanzee). Lineage: Eukaryota; Metazoa; Chordata; Mammalia; Primates; Hominidae. The record is from RNAcentral.